CAGUCGCACGAGAAAGCCCGGUUCGCCGGGCGAGUAAAGUGGCGCACGGGUGAGUAACGCGUGGAUAAUCUACCUCGUUCUGGGGGAUAACCCAUCGAAAGGUGGGCUAAUACCGCAUAAUCCGGCUGAAUUUCGGUUUGGCCGGCAAAGGUGGCCUCUUGAUCAAAGCUACCGGGAAGAGAUGAGUCCGCGUCCCAUUAGCUAGUUGGUAGGGUAACGGCCUACCAAGGCGACGAUGGGUAGCUGGUCUGAGAGGACGAUCAGCCACACUGGAACUGGUACACGGUCCAGACUCCUACGGGAGGCAGCAGUGAGGAAUAUUGCGCAAUGGGGGAAACCCUGACGCAGCGAUGCCGCGUGAGUGAAGAAGGCCUUCGGGUCGUAAAGCUCUGUCAAGUGGGAAGAACAGCCUAUGGACGAAUAAUCCAUGGGUCUGACGGUACCACUGAAGGAAGCACCGGCUAACUCCGUGCCAGCAGCCGCGGUAAGACGGAGGGUGCAAGCGUUAUUCGGAUUUAUUGGGCGUAAAGAGAGUGUAGGCGGCCGGUCAAGCCAGAUGUGAAAGCCCAGGGCUUAACCCUGGAAGUGCAUUUGGAACUGGUUGGCUUGAGUUCGGGAGAGGGAAGUGGAAUUCCGGGUGUAGAGGUGAAAUUCGUGGAUAUCCGGAGGAACACCGGUGGCGAAGGCGACUUCCUGGACCGAAACUGACGCUGAGACUCGAAAGCGUGGGGAGCAAACA
RNAcentral lists this ribosomal RNA (739 nucleotides) under uncultured bacterium. RNAcentral's name for it is "bacterial SSU rRNA". It matches the Rfam family "Bacterial small subunit ribosomal RNA", at positions 59 to 774 of the family's 1533-position model. The record is from RNAcentral.